UUGGAGGAAGCUGGUGAGUGGGCGGCAGCACUUAAGUCAAGCUCCAGGAGAGCGCUGCAGAGGCAGCCAUUACCAGAUCAGCCUCUGCUGCUCUCAAAUGAUCUCUUCAGUCAUCCUCCAGGCAUCUGGUUGCGGGUGAAGACCGAGCUAGAAGCCCUCAGAGCAAUGAGCUGGUGACAGGACAACAGCCACAGUGAGAAAGAUGGCCUGUUUGAAAGUCCUGAAAGUCAGGAUGCCCUGCGCACAGGUUGCUGAUGGUCUUGGCCUACAGCAGAGUGGGUAUCUGAAGUGACUUGAAGAAAGACAGGAGGCAGCACUUGAGAGCCACUUGCCUUUGGGCCAGCCUGAGGUCUCACAUUAUCACCGUGAUCACAGAAGAUGCACAGCAUGGGAGCAGGAUCAGCAUCGAUUUGGCAGGAGAUGAAAUAGUGAGAGGCCGACCUGAAAUACUCACGGAUUGGCAGAGUCAACAGGAGGAAAAUGGCUGUAUUAUCUAAAGCAAUCGACAGAUUCAACACAAUUCCUAUGGAAAUUAUAGUGACAUUCCUCACAGAAUUAGGGAAACAGUUCUAAAAUGUAUAUGGAAGCACAAAGGACACUGCAUAGAGCAAUCCUGAACAAAAGGAACAGUGUUGGAAUCAUCCCAAUGCUGGGUCCAUGCUGGAGGACAGAGCACAGUAACAGAAGCAGCAUGGUCCUAACACAAGAACAGACGCACUAAUCAGUGGCAUAGAAUAGAGGACUCAAAAUCGAACUCACACAGCAACAAACGCUUGAUACUUAAUAAAGGUUCCGAAAACCAUACAGUGGAGAAAAGACAGCCGUCUUAAACAAAUGGUGUUGGGGAAACUAAUUGGAACAAUGAAGCUGGAUUUCCAUAUUUGGACCUGAACUGAAAAAAAUGAAAAAAGAAAAUUGAAAUGGAUCAAAGGUCUUAUUGUAAGAAUGGAAACUGGAGACUGUCGGAGAUACUUACAUCUACAUAGGCAAGAGCGGGGACUUUCUGCAAAGGACUCCAAUAGCUCAAGAAGGAAUCACAAGUGGAGUUACAUGAAACUAAAAAGAAGGAAGUGAGGGAAGAGACAUUCUACAGAAUGAAAGUACAUCCUUGCUAGCUGCAUGAUCACCAGAGGAUUAACAUUUAUAGUACAUAAAGAACACAAAAGCUAAAUAUCAAAAAAGACCAAAGAAUUCACUUAAUAAGUAGACUAAUGAUUGAGUGGUUCUCCAAGCCAGAUGAAGCACAUAUGGUCAGUAAACAAAUGGGAAACCAAAAGCUCAAUAUCCUUGGGCAUCAGCAAAACACAAAAGUAAACUACACUGAGAUCCCAUGUAGUGACUGUCCUGGUUUGCUCUCCAUUGCUGUGAUAAAACACUGACCCAAACCAAAUUGGGAUGGAAAGUGACUCACAGACAUGUCCACAGGAUUGAGGCAAUUCCUCAACUAAGGUUUCCUCUUCCCAAGAGUAUGAAGGUGGCAAUCAAGAUUAGUCACCUCUGGUGGAAGGGUGGAAUGGACCCCCCCAUAGUACACUGGCAAAGUCAUUCCUAUACUCCUUUGUUGGAGACACCCCACAUUAGGCUCGAGAUGCUUAGGACCCUUGAUGACAAGGAGGAAAACCCUGUCCGGGAAUACUAUGUUUCAGAACUCGAGGCAAUGGCCUCUUGUGGGCCCCAGUAUGAGUACUGAGAGGUCCCAAGGCCUGCUUCUUUGGCACAAGCAAUGGUCACUCGCUUGAGGUGGAAAUGAAAGUAACCUAGAGCCACAGCCAUAGAUGAGAAAUUCUGUAGCUGUUCCCCCAGUCUUAGUCUCAAUUCUGACUAUAGAAUUGAGGAUGGAAUAAUAUGUAGAUAUUUCCCAGAAAAUUAGCAAUGGGUUCCUUGGGUUUAGGGAUUCCUUGGCUGCCCCCUAGGAAUUCUUUAUACAGGUUAGGUGAGGAUGGUUUUGUAGACAGGCAGAUAGGGUCCAAAAAUUAUAAAGACUGCAGGGUCAGCAGUAUGACCUCCUGUUUGCCCUUUUAUGAAACCGUAUUGUCUCACACAUGUCUGAAAGACUUUGUAACCACAAUACUGCUGCUCCAACCUCGCUAGAGACUGGUGGUCAGAAGAUACAAAAAAUUGUGCUUGCUAUAAAAGUUUUGUGUCUGAGA
Mastomys coucha (southern multimammate mouse) is the source of this 2150-nucleotide long non-coding RNA. RefSeq lists it as uncharacterized. The transcript is spliced from 4 exons. The record is from RefSeq and is a predicted model, not a curated record. Lineage: Eukaryota; Metazoa; Chordata; Mammalia; Rodentia; Muridae.